AUUGAACGCUGGCGGCAGGCUUAACACAUGCAAGUCGAGCGGGGGAAGGUAGCUUGCUACCGGACCUAGCGGCGGACGGGUGAGUAAUGCUUAGGAAUCUGCCUAUUAGUGGGGGACGACAUCUCGAAAGGGAUGCUAAUACCGCAUACGUCCUACGGGAGAAAGCAGGGGAUCUUCGGACCUUGCGCUAAUAGAUGAGCCUAAGUCGGAUUAGCUAGUUGGUGGGGUAAAGGCCUACCAAGGCGGCGAUCUGUAGCGGGUCUGAGAGGAUGAUCCGCCACACUGGGACUGAGACACGGCCCAGACUCCUACGGGAGGCAGCAGUGGGGAAUAUUGGACAAUGGGGGGAACCCUGAUCCAGCCAUGCCGCGUGUGUGAAGAAGGCCUUAUGGUUGUAAAGCACUUUAAGCGAGGAGGAGGCUACUUUAGUUAAUACCUAGAGAUAGUGGACGUUACUCGCAGAAUAAGCACCGGCUAACUCUGUGCCAGCAGCCGCCGUAA
This 501-nucleotide ribosomal RNA is filed under the name uncultured bacterium. RNAcentral describes it as "partial 16S ribosomal RNA". It matches the Rfam family "Bacterial small subunit ribosomal RNA", at positions 30 to 523 of the family's 1533-position model. The record is from RNAcentral.